RNAcentral lists this transfer RNA (72 nucleotides) under Pleuronectes platessa (European plaice). It matches the Rfam family "tRNA". From Rfam's summary of the family: Transfer RNA (tRNA) molecules are approximately 80 nucleotides in length. Their secondary structure includes four short double-helical elements and three loops (D, anti-codon, and T loops). Further hydrogen bonds mediate the characteristic L-shaped molecular structure. tRNAs have two regions of fundamental functional importance: the anti-codon, which is responsible for specific mRNA codon recognition, and the 3' end, to which the tRNAs corresponding amino acid is attached (by aminoacyl-tRNA synthetases). tRNAs cope with the degeneracy of the genetic code in two manners: having more than one tRNA (with a specific anti-codon) for a particular amino acid; and 'wobble' base-pairing, i.e. permitting non-standard base-pairing at the 3rd anti-codon position. Lineage: Eukaryota; Metazoa; Chordata; Actinopteri; Pleuronectiformes; Pleuronectidae. The record is from Rfam by way of RNAcentral.
GGCUCGUUGGUCUAGGGGUAUGAUUCUCGCUUUCGGUGCGAGAGGUCCCGGGUUCAAAUGCCGGACGAGCCC